AAAAAGUUAGUUAAUUUAUAACAUUAAUAUGUCAUAUUAAAAUUAUUAGUAUUUAAUACUUUUUU
RNAcentral lists this transfer RNA (65 nucleotides) under Haania sp. JZ-2017. Its description in RNAcentral is "tRNA-Asp". Lineage: Eukaryota; Metazoa; Arthropoda; Insecta; Mantodea; Haaniidae. The record is from RNAcentral.